Molecule: long non-coding RNA, 567 nt
Organism: Physella acuta
Lineage: Eukaryota; Metazoa; Mollusca; Gastropoda; Physidae
Source: RefSeq, a predicted model, not a curated record
UCGACUAACGAGCACGUCUCAUUGUGAGGAACACCUUGAAAUUGAGCACCGCAGGUCGACAUAUGUUGACGUGGACAUUCUGGUCAUCAGAUCACACUGAAGGACGUCGCUAGUAAUUACAGGGAGAAAAACAGUUGACAUAAUGAAAAUAUAUACAAGCUUAUUUCUGAUUUUGGUGGUCGCUUUAAUUAUGGAGUCUGAAGCUUUAUAUUUAUUAAACACUAAACACUACCAGACACCCAAACAAAUGAAAAGGUUACCUCAUCCUUUGAAGAAAGGUGGUCAUCCAUUAUUGGGCAUCCAAAGCAAUCGACUUGGAUCAAAACAGCCGAGCGAAAUUUCUGGCUCUUCUAACUGACAGAUUCGUUUCAAUGUUGGCGCCUGAGUCAGGACUUGAAGACUAUGCAUAUGACAUUACAUUUUUCUUAAUUAAAUGAAUCUUUAAUUUUAAACGAAUUAAUUCAACUUUUCGUAAAUUGAUUCGCACUCCUAUCCAACUAUUCCGUACUAUUAUAGGCGCCUUAACAUGUUCAUUAGGUGCGCAAUAGUUCUAACCAUGCAACUCUA